GUGAGGAAUAUUGGUCAAUGGGCGGGAGCCUGAACCAGCCAAGUCGCGUGAAGGAAGAAGGAUCUAUGGUUCGUAAACUUCUUUUGCAGGGGAAUAAAGUGCAGGACGUGUCCUGUUUUGUAUGUACCCUGAGAAUAAGGAUCGGCUAACUCCGUGCCAGCAGCCGCGGUAAUACGGAGGAUCCGAGCGUUAUCCGGAUUUAUUGGGUUUAACGGGUGCGUAGGUGGUUUGAUAAGUCAGCGGUGAAAGUUUGCAGCUUAACUGUAAAAAUGCCGUUGAAACUGUCGGACUUGAGUGUAAAUGAGGUAGGCGGAAUGCGUGGUGUAGCGGUGAAAUGCAUAGAUAUCACGCAGAACUCCGAUUGCGAAGGCAGCUUACUAAGCUACAACUGACACUGAAGCACGAAAGCGUGGGGAUCAAACAGGAUUAGAUACCCGGGUAGUCC
RNAcentral lists this ribosomal RNA (445 nucleotides) under uncultured bacterium. Its description in RNAcentral is "partial 16S ribosomal RNA". It matches the Rfam family "Bacterial small subunit ribosomal RNA", at positions 354 to 796 of the family's 1533-position model. The record is from RNAcentral.